UUGCUACGCCACACCCACACGGGUACUCAGCAGUGAAUAACAUUAAGAAAUGAGCGAAAGCUCGACUUAGUUAUGAUAAAUAUGGCCGGUAAAUUUCGUGCCAGCCACCGCGGUUAUACGAGAGGCCAAAGACAACGACCAACGGCGUAAAGCGUGACUAGGGUCCGUCAAAAAUUUAAAGUAGUAUUGUAUCAAAGUUGUAAAAUACCUUGAUCACCAGACCAUCAACAACAAAGUGACUUUAAACAAAAGGCAUCCUGACCUCACGAAAGCUAAGAAACAAACUAGGAUUAGAUACCCUACUAUGCUUAGCCCUAAACAUAGAUAGCAGGCACACAAUGCUAUCCGCCAGAGAACUACAAGUGAAAAACUAGAAACUCCAAGGACUUGGCGGUGCUCCAUACCGUCCUAGAGGAGCCUGUCCUGUAAUCGAUAAUCCACGUUAUACCUCACCACCCCUUGCAACUCAGCCUAUAUACCGCCGUCGUCAGCCUACCUUGUGAAAGGAAAAAAGUAGGCAAAAUAGUUAACAACUAAAACGUCAGGUCAAGGUGUAGCCCAUGGGGUGGAAGAGAUGGGCUACACUUUCUAUCACAGAACACACGAAUAGCACAAUGAAACCUGUGCUUGAAGGCGGAUUUAGUAGUAAGAUAAAAAGAGAGCUUAUCUGAACCCCGCUCUGGAGCGCGCACACACCGCCCGUCACCCUCAUCACACAAACCUCUUAUACUAAAAUAUAAAGC
Molecule: ribosomal RNA, 743 nt
Filed under: Trachylepis hoeschi (Hoesch's mabuya)
Lineage: Eukaryota; Metazoa; Chordata; Lepidosauria; Squamata; Scincidae
Description: partial 12S ribosomal RNA
Rfam family: Bacterial small subunit ribosomal RNA
Source: RNAcentral